This 200-nucleotide unclassified non-coding RNA is filed under the name uncultured fungus. Its description in RNAcentral is "sequence contains ITS1". The stretch from base 1 to 106 matches the Rfam family "5.8S ribosomal RNA", at positions 50 to 154 of the family's 154-position model. From Rfam's summary of the family: 5.8S ribosomal RNA (5.8S rRNA) is a component of the large subunit of the eukaryotic ribosome. It is transcribed by RNA polymerase I as part of the 45S precursor that also contains 18S and 28S rRNA. Lineage: Eukaryota; Fungi. The record is from RNAcentral.
GAAAUGCGAUACGUAAUGCGAAUUGCAGAAUUCAGUGAAUCAUCAAAUUCUUGAACGCAAAUGGCGCUCCUGGGAUAGCCCUGGGAGCAUGCUUCUUUGAGUAUCGGUUCACCCGACAUCGACGGCGUGCUUGGCAAAGUACUGCGCAGUCGGAGAGUGAGCGAUCACGGCCUCGUGUGCCUUGGCAAAGGUGCGCCGUG